UUGUGUUGACAGAAAAACAAGCAGACGACUGAGCUGAGCCAAACUUGCAAAAAAAUGUUCACGUGUGUAUAUUGGAAUAAUUUCGCAUCAAGUAUCCCAUAUUGACCACUACAAUAUCAGUUUAGGUGGCAUUGCUUCGUCGUUGUAUCGGAAGAUUAUUAACCUGCUAUGUUGAGCAGAACAUAUGGUGCCUUCCGUUUAAUUUAUAGAAGAGCAAGUAGUGCUGUCAACUCUCUUUUGAGUCAAGAAGACACAAGAAAUUCCACCAUGAAAGCAUAUUGUAGAACCAAGAGUGAAGAUCGUGUGGAUAUUCAGUUUCAAUAUGUAGAUCCUGUUAUAGGGUUGGACCGUUGGUUCAAUUUCAAUAGAUCAAUGGAUGAUAAUGUGCAACAAAUUAAAGAAAGAAUUGUUACAAAUAUUGACAAGGCUUGCUUAAAGUACAAGAAAAAGAAACUGAAGAAGUUGCCUACAGAUCCCUUGGAUGAGUUGAAGUUAGAAGUCCAACUGUUGCAGGGUUGUGAAAUAAUAGGUCCAGAGGUGACUUGUAGAAAUUUACUUGUCAUGCCAGAUGUUGUAAUUGCAGUAAAUGGUCAAUUAUACCAUUUAGAUGUUGACCCUCCUACAGUAAAAACUCUCAAGCUCCCUACUUCAAUUAUGGCAGGGUAUCAAGUUUAUCUAAGCAAAUUUGAAGUAGAGUAUUGUAUAACACGUGAAUGUGAACUAAUUUGGUACAAGAGCCAUGAGCCUGUAAAUGUCAUCCCAGAAGAUAGUUCUGAAACUUGGGUUCAAGUUGGAACAGGAUUCUCCUACUCUACUUCAAACUCAGACAUUGGCAGCUGGCUCAAAGUAAAAUGCAUUCCAAGGAAUUCAUCUAGAGUAGGAUUGCCUGAAUGUGCAAUCUCUUCCCAAGUAGUCGAAGCUGGACCUGGCCAGUGUCCUUUUGACAUCCGUCACAAUUUUACAAAAGAAUCAAUGGGCAAUACAGGUUUUCGAGUAGUGACCUACAAUAUCCUUGCCGAUCUAUACACCGAUUCUGAAUAUACACGUAAAGUUCUUCACCCCUACUGUCCUCCAUACGCGUUGGCAAUUGACUAUCGAAAGCAACUUAUCUUAAAAGAAUUAAUUGGAUACAAUGCUGAUAUAAUCUGUCUCCAAGAAGUUGAUGGUAAAGUCUUUGAUUCAGAUUUGAAACCUAUUUUCUCUUCAUUGGGUUUCGGAGCUGAAUUCAGCAAAAAAGGUGGACAAGUGAGUGAAGGAAUGACAUGUUUAUUCAAUACGUCCAAAUUUCGGCUGGUUGAAUCAUGUAGCCAUAUUUUGGCCGAAGAGUUGCCGAAAAAUCCAUUAGUUAAUGAUUUAUGGGAAGCUGUGCAAAAAAAUGAAGAUUUGUCUAAACGAAUCAUUGACCGUACUACUUCUUGUCAUCUUCUUGUCUUGGAGUCGCUGUUCAACGGUAAACGUGUAGUUGUAGCUAACACGCAUCUUUAUUUUCACCCAAAUGCGGACCACAUUCGUCUCCUACAAUCAUGUGUAGCUCUGCGCUUAGCACAAAAUUUGCGAAACUGUCAAUUGGAACUUGGAAAAGAAGUCUCCCUUUUAUUUUGCGGGGAUUUUAAUAGUACUCCAGGAUCCGGUGUCUUUGAACUGAUGACAUUACAACACAUAGAUCAUGACAACGAGGCGUGGUCAAGCAAACCAGAAGAAGCAGUGCGGGACUUAUCUCUUCAUAACCCAAUUGUGAUGGAAACUGCCUGUGGCACUCCUCCUUUUACUAAUUACACUAGUGGAUUCAGUGGUUGUCUUGACUACAUUUUUUUCGAAAAAUCCAAGCUCGUCGUUGAACAGGUUGUCCCCCUUCCCAGUCUAGAGGAAGUUACUCGACACUGUGCGCUCCCCAGUAUAGUGUUUCCUUCGGAUCAUAUUGCCUUGAUCGCCGACCUCAAAUGGGUGUGAUUUUAACUGCCGUUUGAACUAACUAGCAAAAACACCAUGGAAGGCUUAGGCUUCUCUAAAAAAUGUUAAAAAAAUUAAGCUAUAUGGGUUAUUACGUAAUAAUUAGUCUGUUGUCCAAUUGUCUGAAUUAUUCGUACUGUUGGCACUUGAACGAACAAUUUAUUAACUAUUGAGUAAGCCGAGAGCCACGAAUCAGCCUUUUUACGGGAAAAAGAAGCGUAGAUUUUUUAUUUCAAUUUGCACUAGCUUGUUGUUGCCCUCGAGCAAGAGAAUCGAACCACAAUUACAAAUCAUCCCAAAAGUCAUCCGUUCUUUGACCAUGUUUUCACUUUUGCGAUAAUUGAAAAUCGCAUCUGGUUUCAAAACUUUCAAAUUCUUGAAGAGGAUAGUCAACUUGCUGAAAAGAAAUAGGACGAUUUGUGUUGAAUCGCAUCAAAGUUUUCGAUGGUAGUUUAUGUUAUGCGUAAUAUGUAUGUUACGCCAAAUUUGGUAUGUUUAAAGAAUCUUUUUACCCUUAAAACAAAUCCUAACAUGUUUCUUCUUUAGUAUCGCCGAAUUACAAACAGGGUUAGUGUAUCGUCAGAAAAUUGAGAAAAAGUUUUCAAUACUCCUACUCCUAGGGUUUGAUUCACGAAUUGAUGAAAUUGUAGUAGUAAUAGUAAAAAAUUGUGAAUGAAGGAGUCACUGCCGUCAAUGAAAUUUUUCUUUAAUUUCUCAACGAAAUUGUUUAGCGUACCAUGAAUCAAGCUCACAAUGAAGGACUAAAUAAUGUCAAUUAGAACCACAUAGAAAAUGUUUUCCUCAGCAGCUUGUAGGAUUAAAGAAAAUAAGACA
Molecule: unclassified non-coding RNA, 2784 nt
Filed under: Daphnia pulicaria
Lineage: Eukaryota; Metazoa; Arthropoda; Branchiopoda; Diplostraca; Daphniidae
Description: 2',5'-phosphodiesterase 12-like, transcript variant X2
Source: RNAcentral